AGAGUUUGAUCCUGGCUCAGGAUGAACGCUAGCGGCAGGCUUAAUACAUGCAAGUCGAGGGGCAGCGGGGGUAGCAAUACCUGCCGGCGACCGGCAAACGGGUGCGGAACACGUACACAACCUUCCUUUAAGUGGGGGAUAGCCCAGAGAAAUUUGGAUUAAUACCCCGUAACAUUAGUAGAUGGCAUCAUUUACGAAUUAAAGCUACGGCGCUUAGAGAUGGGUGUGCGUCUGAUUAGGUAGUUGGUUGAGGUAACGGCUCACCAAGCCUUCGAUCAGUAACUGGUGUGAGAGCACGACCAGUCACACGGGCACUGAGACACGGGCCCGACUCCUACGGGAGGCAGCAGUAAGGAAUAUUGGUCAAUGGACGCAAGUCUGAACCAGCCAUGCCGCGUGGAGGAUGAAGGUCCUCUGGAUUGUAAACUUCUUUUAUCUGGGAAGAAAUGCAUUUUUUCUAAAGUGUUUGACGGUACCAGAAGAAUAAGCACCGGCUAACUCCGUGCCAGCAGCCGCGGUAAUACGGAGGGUGCAAGCGUUAUCCGGAUUCACUGGGUUUAAAGGGUGCGUAGGUGGGCAUUUAAGUCAGUGGUGAAAUCUCCGGGCUUAACCCGGAAACUGCCAUUGAUACUAUGUGUCUUGAAUACCGUGGAGGUGAGCGGAAUAUGUCAUGUAGCGGUGAAAUGCUUAGAUAUGACAUAGAACACCAAUUGCGAAGGCAGCUCACUACACGAAUAUUGACACUGAGGCACGAAAGCGUGGGGAUCAAACAGGAUUAGAUACCCUGGUAGUCCACGCCCUAAACGAUGGAUACUCGACAUACGCGAUACACAGUGUGUGUCUGAGCGAAAGCAUUAAGU
This 860-nucleotide ribosomal RNA is filed under the name uncultured Bacteroidota bacterium. RNAcentral describes it as "bacterial SSU rRNA". It matches the Rfam family "Bacterial small subunit ribosomal RNA", at positions 8 to 865 of the family's 1533-position model. Lineage: Bacteria; Pseudomonadati; Bacteroidota. The record is from RNAcentral.